GCCGGGUUUGGUGGCGCGUGCCUGUAAUCCUAGCUACUGGGGAGGCUGAGGCAGGAGAAUUGCUUGAACCUGGGAGGCAGAAGUUGCAGUGAGCUGAGAUCAUGCAACUGCACUCCAGCCUGGGCAACAGAGCAAUAUUCUGUCUCAA
Macaca mulatta (Rhesus monkey) is the source of this 148-nucleotide unclassified non-coding RNA. It matches the Rfam family "Metazoan signal recognition particle RNA". Rfam says of the family: The signal recognition particle (SRP) is a universally conserved ribonucleoprotein. It is involved in the co-translational targeting of proteins to membranes. The eukaryotic SRP consists of a 300-nucleotide 7S RNA and six proteins: SRPs 72, 68, 54, 19, 14, and 9. NCBI's taxonomy places the organism in Eukaryota, Metazoa, Chordata, Mammalia, Primates, Cercopithecidae. The record is from Ensembl.